CUCACUGAGGCGGUGGAGCUUGGAGCCGGCCGCGCUCAGAGCGCGGGGCUUUGGGGUGAAGCCAUGUGGGGCGGAGGUUACAGGGGAGGUGACAGCAAGGGUGACGCAAGAGGCGGUGGAACUUGGAAUAGGCCUUGCUAGAGGGUUGAGAUGUGGAGUGCUAAGGGGCGGGGCUUGGAAGGUGGAACCAAAGCUCUAGGUGGAGCCGGGGGCACGUGAGGGGAUAAUCCUCACUAGAUACCUGCUACCACCCCUCUCCCAGAACUGGAAGAGGCCCACCAGAAGUGCCCACCAUGGUGGUACAAGUGCGCCCACAAAGUGCUCAUAUGGAACUGCUGCGCCCCGUGGCUGAAGUUCAAGAACAUCAUCCACCUGAUCGUCAUGGACCCGUUCGUGGACCUGGGCAUCACCAUCUGCAUCGUGCUCAACACCCUCUUCAUGGCCAUGGAACAUUACCCCAUGACGGAGCACUUUGACAACGUGCUCACUGUGGGCAACCUGGUCUUCACAGGCAUCUUCACAGCAGAGAUGGUUCUGAAGCUGAUCGCCAUGGACCCCUACGAGUAU
Molecule: small RNA, 567 nt
Filed under: Pan troglodytes (chimpanzee)
Lineage: Eukaryota; Metazoa; Chordata; Mammalia; Primates; Hominidae
Description: retained intron
Source: RNAcentral